AUUCCAGCUCCAAUAGCGUAUAUUAAAGUUGUUGCAGUUAAAACGCUCGUAGUCGGAUUUCGGGGCGGGCCGACCGGUCUGCCGAUGGGUAUGCACUGGCCGGCGCGUCCUUCCACCCGGAGACCGCGCCUACUCUUAACUGAGCGGGCGCGGGAGACGGGUCUUUUACUUUGAAAAAAUCAGAGUGUUUCAAGCAGGCAGUCGCUCUUGCAUGGAUUAGCAUGGGAUAAUGAAAUAGGACUCUGGUGCUAUUUUGUUGGUCUCGAACACCGGAGUAAUGAUUAACAGGGACAGUCAGGGGCACUCGUAUUCCGCCGAGAGAGGUGAAAUUCUUGGAUUAACGGAAGAUGAACUUCUGCGAAAGCAUCUGCCAAGGAUGUUUUCAUUA
This 388-nucleotide ribosomal RNA is filed under the name Gephyrocapsa cf. muellerae. RNAcentral describes it as "partial small subunit ribosomal RNA". It matches the Rfam family "Eukaryotic small subunit ribosomal RNA", at positions 582 to 975 of the family's 1831-position model. The record is from RNAcentral. Lineage: Eukaryota; Haptophyta; Isochrysidales; Noelaerhabdaceae.